GCAAGGCCGACCACAGGUUAAGAGAUCAUAGCCCUGCAUCUGAGAGUCUGCAAGCUAGUCAGUGUCCUUUGAUGAGCUGUUUCCAGAAUCUUGCGUCCGCCCAGCAAGUGCUCGCUGAGAGAUUGGCAACAAAAAAUCAUGCCGUGGAAAUUUCAGAAGCUGAGAUGCAACAAGAAAAUAAAAGGCUCCGAGCCAAGCUUUCAGGUCUGGAAGGGAGAUCCAGGCGCAACAACAUAAAAUAUCGUUGGUGUCCCUGCAGGAGAAAAAAGAUUCAGCGUCUUGGGGGACUGCCCUCGAUGGAUUACUAAGGUCAUCGUAUCUUAAUCUUCCCAGACUACACCCCGGAGGUGAUGGAGCAACAGUAAAGCCUCCAUGAGAAUGCUGAGGGAGAAGGAGAUUUGAGUUGAGACUCCAUGUUCAUUACUAGGAGCAAGUAAAGAUAUUCAGCAAUAUGGCUGAAGCCAAGAACUUUUUAGAUUUGACAUUUGAAAUUCUAUUUUUGUAACAUAAAGAGAGUGUAAACACACUGAGUAGGCUUCUAUCAUUGCAGUUUUCUUUUCUCUUAUGCUCAACUUGUUCAGCACUGUUUGUGCCAAUGAGGGGGCUGUGAGUUGGAGGUGUUCCCUGAUAGAUGAGGGUAACUGCUUUAUUUGGGGAAACCCUGGAUGUGGGUUUUGUUCAUGUUUAUUUGAGUUUUUGUUGGCUGCUGUUAGCUGUAAGAUUUAAUGUUUCGAUACAAUGCAAUUAUCUUUUGUGGUUCAAUGUUCAAGCUUGUGGUCUUUCAAAGUAUCAUGACUAAAAACAUAUCCAUAUCCUUGGUCUCUUGGAGUGUUCUUGGUUAAUGUCAUCCAAUAAAGCGAGAUGAAGUCUCCAUAUCUGGAUAGGCUUUCUUUUGCUCCUCCACCCAAUAUUCUUGCUGUACAAACACUUCAUUUGAUGAAGUGAAAGAAGAUUACAACAUCCAUGUGAUUGUCAUUAUUCUUUCCACUCCCAUGUACGCAGAUCAUUAACGCGGAUCAGUUACUUUUUUUAGAUGAUUCCAGAUUAAUCUCUAACACUGUCCAUACCAAAUAGCACAACACAACAUAACAGACCAUAGUCCUGUCCCUUCCUAAGUAGGCCUAUAGCUGGUGAUUUAUUACUCAGAUCUAGCUUUUAAAGAUUACAUUAGGUUGCACAUUUCAACAGCACUGUGGGACAAAGUGAAUGUAUUUGUUGAUGAAAAAGUAUUUUAAAAAAGUCACCAAAAUAUUAUGGAGCAAUAGCACGCUGAGUUGUCACCUGCCCUGGAUUAGCAGUGGACCAUGUGAGACAUACUCAUUCUUGGCACCGUGAUUGCAUUAGUU
This is a long non-coding RNA of Larimichthys crocea (large yellow croaker), 1346 nucleotides long. RefSeq lists it as uncharacterized. The transcript has 3 exons. The record is from RefSeq and is a predicted model, not a curated record. Lineage: Eukaryota; Metazoa; Chordata; Actinopteri; Sciaenidae.